Molecule: unclassified non-coding RNA, 954 nt
Filed under: Hevea brasiliensis (rubber tree)
Lineage: Eukaryota; Viridiplantae; Streptophyta; Magnoliopsida; Malpighiales; Euphorbiaceae
Source: RNAcentral
AGGGACUGCACCGGCAUCAGAAUUAACAUCUUGCGGUCUUGAUGCUUAUCACUUGAACAGACCAGAUAGGAUGCAGGACAAUUCAGCAAAUGAUAGAAUAAAUCCCGUGAAGGGUGCAAUUGUGUUCUCUAACAUUGUUACCACAGUUUCACCAACUUAUGCUCAAGAGGUCCGCUCUGUUCAGGGAGGAAAAGGACUUCAUGCAACAAUUAACUCCCAUUCUAAGAAAUUUGCUGGAAUUCUAAAUGGAAUCGAUACUGCUGCUUGGAAUCCUGCUUCUGAUAAUUUUCUUAAGGUCCAAUACAGUGCCAGUGACAUAGAUGGAAAAAUAGAAAAUAAAGAAGCUUUAAGAAGACUUCUAGGGCUCUCUUCUUCUGACUUUAGACAACCAUUGGUUGGUUGCAUAACAAGACUGGUUCCUCAAAAGGGUGUGCAUCUUAUUAGACAUGCCGUAUAUAGGACUUUGGAGUUGGGAGGUCAAUUUGUUCUUCUUGGUUCUAGCCCAGUGCCGCAUAUUCAGAGGGAAUUUGAGGAUAUUGCGAACCAUUUCCAAAAUCACGAACAUGCUCGGUUGGUAUUGAAGUAUGAUGAGGCUCUUUCCCAUUUGAUAUAUGCAGCAUCUGACAUGCUUAUUAUCCCUUCCAUCUUUGAGCCUUGCGGUCUUACUCAGAUGAUAGCGAUGAGAUAUGGGUCGAUACCAAUAGCUAGGAAAACAGGGGGCUUGAAUGAUAGUGUUUUUGAUGUUGACGAUGACUCAAUCCCACUUCAGUUUAGAAAUGGAUUCACAUUUGCGACUGCUGAUGAACAGGGAUUCAACAAUGCUUUGGAACGUGCAUUUAACUAUUAUAUGAACAAUUAUGAGAUCUGGAAAGAGUUUGUUCAGAAGGACAUGAGCAUAGAUUUUAGUUGGGAUUCAUCAGCAUCACAAUAUGAAGAACUUUACGAGAAGGCUGU